This is a non-coding RNA of Rattus norvegicus (Norway rat), 354 nucleotides long. Lineage: Eukaryota; Metazoa; Chordata; Mammalia; Rodentia; Muridae. The record is from the annotation of a RefSeq genome assembly.
AUGAAUUUUCAGGUGCAGAUUUUCAACUUCCUGCUAAUCAGUUUCACACUGUCCAGUGGAGAAAUUGUGCUCACUCAGUCUCCAACAACCAUGGCUGCAUCUCUGGGGGAGAAGGUCACCAUCACCUGCAGUGCCAGCUCAAGUGUAAAUUACAUGCACUGGUACCAGCAGAAGUCAGGCACUUCCCCCAAACUCUUGAUUUAUUACACAUCAAGCCUGGCUUCUGGAGUCCCAGAUCGCUUCAGUGGCAGUGGUUCUGGGACCACUUAUUUGCUCAGAAUCAGCACCAUGGAGACAGAAGAUGCUGCCACUUAUUACUGCCAGUAUUGGAGUAGUAGCCAGUCCACACAGUAA